RNAcentral lists this ribosomal RNA (213 nucleotides) under uncultured bacterium. RNAcentral describes it as "partial 16S ribosomal RNA". It matches the Rfam family "Bacterial small subunit ribosomal RNA", at positions 15 to 225 of the family's 1533-position model. The record is from RNAcentral.
GAUCCUGGCUCAGGAUGAACGCUAGCUACAGGCUUAACACAUGCAAGUCGAGGGGCAGCAUGGUCUUAGCUUGCUAAGACUGAUGGCGACCGGCGCACGGGUGAGUAACACGUAUCCAACCUGCCGUCUACUCUUGGACAGCCUUCUGAAGGAAGAUAUACAGAUGGCAUCAUGAGUCCGCAUGUUCACAUGAUUAAAGGUAAUUCGUGACGA